Molecule: unclassified non-coding RNA, 329 nt
Filed under: plant metagenome
Description: partial contains 5.8S ribosomal RNA, internal transcribed spacer 2, and large subunit ribosomal RNA
Rfam family: 5.8S ribosomal RNA (bases 1-105)
Source: RNAcentral
GAAAUGCGAUAAGUAAUGUGAAUUGCAGAAUUCCGUGAAUCAUCGAAUCUUUGAACGCACAUUGCGCCCUCUGGUAUUCCGGGGGGCAUGCCUGUCCGAGCGUCAUUGCGAACCCCUCAAGCACGGCUUGUGUGAUGGGCCCUCCCGCGUCUUGGUCGUCAAGACGGGCCCGAAAUGCAGUGGCGGCUUCGCGGUUAUCCGAUCAGCCAGAGCGUAUGGGGACUUUCUCUCUGCCACACGCCCGCGGCGCGGACCGACGCCUGUCGACCUUUAUUCAUCUUUUUCUCGGUUGACCUCGGAUCAGGUAGGGAUACCCGCUGAACUUAAGC